AUUGAACGCUGGCGGCAGGCCUAACACAUGCAAGUCGAACGGUAACAGGAAGCAGCUUGCUGCUUCGCUGACGAGUGGCGGACGGGUGAGUAAUGUCUGGGAAGCUGCCUGAUGGAGGGGGAUAACUACUGGAAACGGUAGCUAAUACCGCAUAAUGUCGCAAGACCAAAGAGGGGGACCUUCGGGCCUCUUGCCAUCGGAUGUGCCCAGAUGGGAUUAGCUUGUUGGUGGGGUAACGGCUCACCAAGGCGACGAUCCCUAGCUGGUCUGAGAGGAUGACCAGCCACUCUGGAACUGAGACACGGUCCAGACUCCUACGGGGGGCAGCUGUGGGGUAUAGUGCACAAUGGGCGCACGCCUGAUGCAGCCAUGCCGCGUGUAUGAAGAAGGCCUUCGGGUUGUAAAGUACUUUCAGCGGGGAGGAAGGGAGUAAAGUUAAUACCUUUGCUCAUUGACGUUACCCAGAAGAAGCACCGGCUAACUCCGUG
Molecule: ribosomal RNA, 488 nt
Filed under: uncultured bacterium
Lineage: Bacteria
Description: partial 16S ribosomal RNA
Rfam family: Bacterial small subunit ribosomal RNA
Source: RNAcentral